GGGUUUUUGAUUUGUCACUAGGGACUGGGGAGGUGCCAUCUUUGCUAUAAAGGAUCCUGUCCAGCCACAAGAAGUUACGGAAAAGAAUGUAUUCUUUCUGCGGGAGUUUAAUUCGGAGGCAAAGUUCGCGUAUUGUUCAUUUCAAAUUCGCAAGAGCUUCUUUAGCUAUUAGUAGCGGUAAUAUUCAUGGACUGAGCUCGUUGGCAUCUGAUUCUUCGGUUCUAGAUGAAAAUCCUGCUUCGAAGAAUCAUCUCUUCCGGUCAUUUCUCCAGCUCGC
RNAcentral lists this unclassified non-coding RNA (277 nucleotides) under Hevea brasiliensis (rubber tree). The record is from RNAcentral. Lineage: Eukaryota; Viridiplantae; Streptophyta; Magnoliopsida; Malpighiales; Euphorbiaceae.